This 253-nucleotide ribosomal RNA is filed under the name uncultured prokaryote. RNAcentral describes it as "partial 16S ribosomal RNA". It matches the Rfam family "Bacterial small subunit ribosomal RNA", at positions 525 to 777 of the family's 1533-position model. The record is from RNAcentral.
ACGUAGGAGGCGAGCGUUAUCCGGAUUCACUGGGCGUAAAGCGCGUGCAGGCGGUUUGGUAAGUUGAUCGUGAAAGCUCCCGGCUCAACUGGGAGAGGUCGUUCAAUAUUACCGAACUAGAGAGCAGAAGAGGAAGAUGGAAUUCCCGGUGUAGUGGUGAAAUGCGUAGAUAUCGGGAGGAACACCAGUGGCGAAGGCGAUCUUCUGGUCUGUUUCUGACGCUCAGACGCGACAGCUAGGGUAGUAAACGGGA